AUUGAACGCUGGCGGCGUGCCUAAUACAUGCAAGUCGAACGAGUGGCGGACGGGUGAGUAACACGUGGGAACCUACCCAUCAGAGGGGGAUAACACUUGGAAACAGGUGCUAAUACCGCAUAAUGAUGGAUGGACCCGCGGUGCAUUAGCUUGUAGGUAAGGUAACGCCUUACCUAGGCGACGAUCCCUAGGUGGUCUGAGAGGAUGAUCAGCCACACUGGGAUUGAGACACGGCCCGGACUCCUACGGGAGGCAGCAGUGGGGAAUAUUGGACAAUGGGCGAAAGCCUGAUGCAGCCAUGCCGCGUGUAUGAAGAAGGCCUUCGGGUUGUAAAGUACUUUCAGUCGGGAGGCGUUACCGACAGAAGAAGCACCGGCUAACUCCGUGCCAGCAGCCGCGGUAAUAC
This 406-nucleotide ribosomal RNA is filed under the name uncultured bacterium. RNAcentral describes it as "partial 16S ribosomal RNA". It matches the Rfam family "Bacterial small subunit ribosomal RNA", at positions 30 to 526 of the family's 1533-position model. The record is from RNAcentral.